CCCCUAUGCCUAGCCCUAAAUCCUGAUGCUUGCCCCACCAAAGCAUCCGCCUGAGAACUACGAGCACAAACGCUUAAAACUCUAAGGACUUGGCGGUGUCCUAAACCCUCCUAGAGGAGCCUGUUCUAUAAUCGAUAACCCACGAUCCACCUAACCUCCCCUUGCUAAAGCAGCCUACAUACCGCCGUCGCCAGCUUACCUCCUAUGAGAGCACUAGAGUGAGCAAAAUAGCCCCCACCACUAACAAGACAGGUCAAGGUAUAGCCAAUGGGAAGGAAGAAAUGGGCUACAUUUUCUAACAUAGAAAACCAUUACGAAAGGGGACAUGAAAUUGCCCCCCGAAGGCGGAUUUAGCAGUAAAGUGAGAUAAUAAAGCCCACUUUAAGUCGGCCCUAGGACACGU
Molecule: ribosomal RNA, 403 nt
Filed under: Eurystomus glaucurus (broad-billed roller)
Lineage: Eukaryota; Metazoa; Chordata; Aves; Coraciiformes; Coraciidae
Description: partial 12S ribosomal RNA
Rfam family: Bacterial small subunit ribosomal RNA
Source: RNAcentral